This 572-nucleotide ribosomal RNA is filed under the name Enterobacter cloacae. RNAcentral describes it as "bacterial SSU rRNA". It matches the Rfam family "Bacterial small subunit ribosomal RNA", at positions 88 to 656 of the family's 1533-position model. The record is from RNAcentral. Lineage: Bacteria; Pseudomonadati; Pseudomonadota; Gammaproteobacteria; Enterobacterales; Enterobacteriaceae.
GUGACGAGUGGCGGACGGGUGAGUAAUGUCUGGGAAACUGCCUGAUGGAGGGGGAUAACUACUGGAAACGGUAGCUAAUACCGCAUAACGUCGCAAGACCAAAGAGGGGGACCUUCGGGCCUCUUGCCAUCAGAUGUGCCCAGAUGGGAUUAGCUAGUAGGUGGGGUAACGGCUCACCUAGGCGACGAUCCCUAGCUGGUCUGAGAGGAUGACCAGCCACACUGGAACUGAGACACGGUCCAGACUCCUACGGGAGGCAGCAGUGGGGAAUAUUGCACAAUGGGCGCAAGCCUGAUGCAGCCAUGCCGCGUGUAUGAAGAAGGCCUUCGGGUUGUAAAGUACUUUCAGCGGGGAGGAAGGUGUUGUGGUUAAUAACCACAGCAAUUGACGUUACCCGCAGAAGAAGCACCGGCUAACUCCGUGCCAGCAGCCGCGGUAAUACGGAGGGUGCAAGCGUUAAUCGGAAUUACUGGGCGUAAAGCGCACGCAGGCGGUCUGUCAAGUCGGAUGUGAAAUCCCCGGGCUCAACCUGGGAACUGCAUUCGAAACUGGCAGGCUGGAGUCUUGUAGAG